Molecule: ribosomal RNA, 467 nt
Filed under: uncultured bacterium
Lineage: Bacteria
Description: bacterial SSU rRNA
Rfam family: Bacterial small subunit ribosomal RNA
Source: RNAcentral
GACGAACGCUGGCGGCGUGCCUAACACAUGCAAGUCGAGCGGUCCUGCAUUCAACAUUGAGUAUUCAGCAGGCGUUGGAGAUGUAACCAGCGUCAAGCAGAAACGACUAUAUAUUAUAAUUUUUGAAGUUUCUGCUUCACGCCAAAUCAAGUGCCAACACAAAGGGAGCUGAGUAUUGAAUGUUGAAUGCAGGAUAGCGGCGGACGGGUGAGUAACGCGUGGGCAACCUGCCUCAUACAGGGGGAUAACACAGGGAAACUUGUGCUAAUACCGCAUAAUAUCAUUGGGUGGCAUCACCUGAUGAUCAAAGGAGAAAUCCGGUAUGAGAUGGGCCCGCGUCCGAUUAGUUAGUUGGUGAGGUAACGGCUCACCAAGGCGACGAUCGGUAGCCGAACUGAGAGGUUGAUCGGCCACAUUGGGACUGAGACACGGCCCAGACUCCUACGGGAGGCAGCAGGUGGGGAAUA